UGGGGAAUAUUGCACAAUGGAGGGAACUCUGAUGCAGCGACGCCGCGUGAACGAAGAAGGCUUUCGAGUCGUAAAGUUCUUUUAUAUGGGAAGAUAAUGACGGUACCAUAAGAAACAGCCCCGGCUAACUACGUGCCAGCAGCCGCGGUAAUACGUAGGGGGCUAGCGUUGUCCGGAAUCACUGGGCGUAAAGGGUUCGCAGGCGGAAAUGCAAGUCAGGUGUAAAAGGCAGUAGCUUAACUACUGUAAGCAUUUGAAACUGCAUAUCUUGAGAAGAGUAGAGGUAAGUGGAAUUUUUAGUGUGGCGGUGAAAUGCGUAGAUAUUAAAGAGAAUACCGGUGGCGAAUGCGGCUUACUGGGCUCAUUCUGACGCUGAGGAACGAAAGCGUGGGUAGCAAACAGG
This 403-nucleotide ribosomal RNA is filed under the name bacterium. RNAcentral's name for it is "partial 16S ribosomal RNA". It matches the Rfam family "Bacterial small subunit ribosomal RNA", at positions 355 to 776 of the family's 1533-position model. The record is from RNAcentral.